Molecule: long non-coding RNA, 3141 nt
Filed under: Nothobranchius furzeri (turquoise killifish)
Lineage: Eukaryota; Metazoa; Chordata; Actinopteri; Cyprinodontiformes; Nothobranchiidae
Description: lncRNA (ENSNFUG00015012152.1)
Source: RNAcentral
GGUUAAAUGGUUUCGUUUGGGUUGAAGCUACAGAAAAGCAGCAAUAGCCAUAAAGAGCCUACGUCACGCCCAUCAACUUCCAGACCAUGGGUUCCCAAUGAAUGCAAGUGAAUGGGGCUAAAAAUGCCGUUCAGGACUACAAAUGCUCUUCAUCGAACCAGACAUGGAGAGAACUGAGAGAACAUAGGUCUCUGGACCGAUCAGAGACCACCAGAGACGGAGGAUUCAAGCACAGUUGGGGCUUUUCUCUUCCCGAUGACAGAGAAAAGGCAAAGAGACCCGAACCCGGCCCGGUGAGCGUGGAGGAGAUGGAGCAGCACCAGACCACCUGCCCAGAGGAGACGUCUCCUCCUUUUAGACGCUUUGGUUCUGGUCCUUCGAGGGUGUACGAGAACCGGUCCAACAGCCACAUCAGGCCUCUGAACAAGCUGCUUCCUAAGACGAUCAGCAGCAUCCACCUCACGCCCCCCGCCUCCUCCCCCAUGGUCUCCAGGAACGACUUCAUCAUCAUCAGUCCGAUCCGUCCUCCAGGAGUGCUGCUGCAGGGGAGACACUUCCAGCACACGCACGUCUCUGUCCCCGUGAAGAAAUCGGGCCAAAGAAACGACCUGUCGUCCACGCAGCCGGAAGCAGAGGUGGACAGCAUCGUCCUCACCUGUCCGGAGCUCCCAGGAGAAGGAACUCUGAACGUCAAACGUCGAAUCCAACAGAAGAGAAAACCGCUGGAGAACGUCUGCGUCUCUUCUCAGAUCGAAGCACCUCAGCUGCUCGUCUCCCACUCCGUUUGUCUGAAGUGCAACAAGCCGAGCGACGAUGUCAGCAGGUGUCAGGUCUGUGGGAGCGGUGAGUCUCUGCUGCCCUCCAACCAGACGGCGUCUCCGACCCCCAGACCCCCCAUCAGAACCCAGACCUGCUCCGGUCCAAACAGCCUCCAUCAGAACUUUUACACACCCAGCACCACCAGGGAGAUUCUACCGGUACGGGUCACUAGCACCAGAGGGACGGUUCUUCCUGUCAACUGUAGCAAGACCCCCCUUUUAGCAGGGAUCUCAACCCCAUGUGGGACCGGAACCAGUACCAGAACGGGGUCGGCCACAGGGAGGAGGAGGACGGCCCAGCAGCAUGAGCUCAACGACCCCAUCGUUCUGUCCAGCGAUGACGAGGAGGCGGACAGCGCCAGCACAGGAAGUGUGAACAGGUUGGACAGCGUGUCCCCGCGACCAGCUGACUCUGCCCACUCGUCUCCAGCGCCCUCUGGAGGCCGGGUGGAGGCGGCGGUGAAAAGCACCGCCGAGCAGGAGGAGUUCAACACGGAUUUCCUGGACAACGUCAACAUGAAGAUCACGAUACCACGGAGAGCCCGGAUGAAGGACCAGUUUGGGAAUCAGCCUCCUGCGCCGUUCUCGUCGAGGACCAAGAGACCCAAAAUCAUGUCCAGUAAGUGUGACAGCAUCAUCCUGGAGUGUCGAAGUGUCCGAAUAGGAACGCUGCGUCGGAUGGUGACGAAGCCCGUCAUCGUGAGUCUGGAAAGAGGCAGCGUUGAGAAGGUUUGUCUUCGCGCGUCAGAACUGGUCAGCUGUGAGUGGUGCAGCGUCCGGAAACUACCCGUCUUGUUCUUCCAGACCAGCAUGGACGAGUGUGUCCGGCUGCGUUCACAGCUCAAAAUGUCCCAGGAGAACGGGGGCCAGUGGUUCGACUCCUCUGCUGAUGGUGACAUCACCAAGGUGUCUCCGGCUCCCGCGGCCAGUCAGACCGUCUGCACGCAGAUGGCAACCCGCCAGAGGACCAACUCCUACCUUGAGGAAGAGGACGAGAACAUGACGGACCUCCAGCCCUCCUUCUCUGGUCCGAUUGAGAAGUUAAUGGUCUACCCCCCCCCUCCAGCUAAAGGAGGCAUCACAGUCACCAACGAGGACCUCCACUGCCUUAACGAUGGAGAAUUCCUUAACGAUGUCAUCAUAGACUUUUAUUUGAAAUAUUUAGUUUUAGAGCGAUUAAAAAAAGACAACGCACAAAGAAUCCAUGUGUUCAGCUCCUUCUUCUAUAAGAGACUGAACCAGCGAGAGCGCAGAACCGGACCUGAUACCAGCAACCUGCCAAUCCAGAAGAGGAAACACAACCGGGUAAAGACCUGGACCCGGCAUGUGGACCUGUUCCAGAAGGACUUCAUCUUUGUUCCCAUUAACGAGUCCGCUCACUGGUACCUGGCGGUUAUUUGCUUCCCGGGCCUAGACGGUCCAGUAUUUGAGAAGAACCCGCUGUAUCACACCCCAAUGUCUAUCUCUGGUCCGGUUACGGAGCUGCAGUCAGAGGAGAACAUCCCGGAGCACUGCCGGCCUCUGUCCCCAGACGGAGACGGGUUGGACGGCUCAUGGAUCACGCCAUCCCCUACAGGGUCAGCGGAAGCAGAGUGUGACCCCACCUCUGAAAACUCAGAGGACAUGGAACCACAGGUCCACAACCGGACCAGACCAGAUGUGACUUACGGUUCGAUUAAAGGCGAUGACGACACCUACACCUUCUCUGACGACCAGAGCUCCUGUCAGGACGAGUGCAGCGAAGACGGGACUCUGGCCGAAGAAGCAGGUGGUGCUGAUGUGGCCAGUUUAGCCUCCAAACCCACCAUCUGUAAACAACCGUGUAUUCUCAUCAUGGACUCGCUGCGAGGUCCGGCCCGGUCCACGGUGGUGAAAACUCUUAGAGAGUAUCUAGAGGUGGAGUGGGAGGUGCGCAAAGGCUCCCAGCGCAGCUUUGGGAAGGAGGUGAUGAGAGGCUCCAGCCCUCGUGUUCCUCAGCAGGAUAACUUCAGUGACUGUGGAGUUUACAUCCUGCAGUACGUGGAGAGCUUCUUUCAGACUCCCAUUCCCAGCUUUGACCUGCCAGUGAACCUGUCUGAGUGGUUUCCCCAGCAGCGGAUGAAGAGCAAGCGCCUGGAGAUCAAGGAGCUGAUACUGAAGAUUCAAGCGCAGCAGGAGCUCGACAGGAAGGAUUGGGACCAGGUGGAGGCUGUGCCGGGAUCACCUGAGGAGCCGGAGAUCAAAGAGACUUUAGCGUCAAAGGCUCUGGAACCAAGCCGACCCGUUAGCUCCUGAACCGAACAGUACACGGCUGGUUCUACUUGAGCAUUUCUGAAACGGACCU